CCUACGGGUGGCAGCAGUAGGGAAUAUUGCUCAAUGGGGGAAACCCUGAAGCAGCAACGCCGCGUGGAGGACGAAGGUUUUAGGAUUUUAAACCUCUUUUGUUAGCGAAGAUAAUGACGGUACCUCACGAAUUAUCACCGGCCAAUUCCGUUCCAGCAGCCGUGGUAAUACGCCGGGUGCAAGCGUUAUUCGGAAUCACUGGGCGUAAAGAGUGCGCAGGCGGGUUUGUAAGUCAGAGGUGAAUUCCUGUAGCUUAACAGCAGAUCUGCAUUUGAAACUGUGAGUCUAGAGAUUGGGAGUGGUAGGUGGAAUUCGUGGUGUAGGGGUGAAAUCCGUAGAUAUCA
This 344-nucleotide ribosomal RNA is filed under the name uncultured bacterium. Its description in RNAcentral is "partial 16S ribosomal RNA". It matches the Rfam family "Bacterial small subunit ribosomal RNA", at positions 338 to 699 of the family's 1533-position model. The record is from RNAcentral.